This 207-nucleotide ribosomal RNA is filed under the name uncultured bacterium. Its description in RNAcentral is "partial 16S ribosomal RNA". It matches the Rfam family "Bacterial small subunit ribosomal RNA", at positions 568 to 774 of the family's 1533-position model. The record is from RNAcentral.
CACGUAGGCGGCCUGUUAAGUCGGAUGUGAAAGCCCACGGCUCAACCGUGGAACUGCAUCCGAUACUGGCAGGCUCGAGGAUGGUUGGGGUGAGUGGAACUCCAGGUGGAGCGGUGAAAUGCGUAGAUAUCUGGAGGAACACCGGUGGCGAAAGCGGCUCACUGGACCAUCACUGACGCUGAGGCGCGAAAGCGUGGGGAGCGAACA